GCGGUGAAUACGUUCCCGGGCCUUGUACACACCGCCCGUCACACCAUGGGAGUUGGCUGCACCAGAAGAGGCUAGUCUAACCGAAAGGAGGACGGUCUCCACGGUGUGGUCAAUGACUGGGGUGAAGUCGUAACAAGGUAGCCGUAGGGGAACCUGCGGCUGGAUCACCUCCUUU
This 175-nucleotide ribosomal RNA is filed under the name Nitrospira sp. RNAcentral describes it as "partial 16S ribosomal RNA". It matches the Rfam family "Bacterial small subunit ribosomal RNA", at positions 1359 to 1533 of the family's 1533-position model. The record is from RNAcentral. Lineage: Bacteria; Pseudomonadati; Nitrospirota; Nitrospiria; Nitrospirales; Nitrospiraceae.